AUGAGAAUUAAUUUUAUUUUAAAUCUGUAACGUGAUUCAUUUAUAAUCCAAUUAGUAGAUAAGUUGUUGAAUGGAGAUGUGAAGAAACAUAGAAUGAAUAAGAUACUUAAUAUGCUGUAGUACUCGAUGGAAGGAAGAGGAAGAGGAGAUUUAAAACACUACUAAGUUACAUUGACGAGAGAUCCAUCUUCUAUAUAAGAAGGAAAGGCAGAUAUAAAUGUCACAUAUUCGUUAAAUUCUUAUAUAAAGUAAUAUAAUUAUCCUUUAAUUUUUGGUAAAUUAAAAUUCUUUACUACAAAACUUACUGACAAAAGGAAAAUAUACAG
Molecule: long non-coding RNA, 326 nt
Organism: Centruroides sculpturatus (bark scorpion)
Lineage: Eukaryota; Metazoa; Arthropoda; Arachnida; Scorpiones; Buthidae
Exons: 3
Source: RefSeq, a predicted model, not a curated record